UGAUGUUAUGAUGAUGGGCAAAGUGUUCAACUGCUCUGAGGGGGCUGAAUGAAAAAUAGCCUUUCUGAACAUCU
Small nucleolar RNA from Carlito syrichta (Philippine tarsier), 74 nucleotides. Lineage: Eukaryota; Metazoa; Chordata; Mammalia; Primates; Tarsiidae. The record is from Ensembl.